ACAUUCGGAGCUGCUCCUCAGGGUUCUGGGCACGUUGCGUAUUGCGCCCCAGCCUUCUCAGCAGCCAGGAGCUGAGAGGUGGAGGGGCCUGUGGUCUGGCCGCCGCCUAGCAGGCCUGCAUGGACACCUCCAGCCGGGUGCAGGCUGGCUGGGGUGGGGCUGCCCUUGACCUUGGGUUCUCCCUCCUCCGCCAGAUCCUCAGGCGCUGGCUCAGCCUCCCACGGCCCAGGGGAGCCUCUGUCUGCUCCUUCCACCCAUUCAAGGACGAGGCUUCCGAAAGACUCACUGUUCCUGUGUGGGGAACUGAGGCCGUGUGAAGGCUGGAUGAACCGCUGCUGUGGCCUGUGGAAGGCAGAUGUUUUGGGGCCGUGAUGGGCUGGCCUGGCUGUGCCGAGGUGCCUGGAGGCAGAACCGUUUCAGGAUCCCGAUGGGGACGUAGAGGAUGCGGGAAGCCCAUGAGUGCCUCCUGUGCGUGAGCGCUUUGCUUCUCAGGCCCUAGGCCAGGCCUCGUUCCCAUCAGAUAAAGCCUGGGGCGGCCGGACGCAGUGCAAGCAAUCGUGCCUGACUCACAGGAAGGGAGGAAAACAGGAAUUCACGCAGAAGCUGUAAUGUUCCCCCUUGGCCCUGGGAAGGGUGUGAAGGGAUGUGCGGGGGGGCGGCUCCGCCCUUCCUCGCCCCUUUCCAGGUGCCUAGACUUGGGAAGGAGAGGGAUGCCGCCAAGCUCGGGUCCUGCAGGGCCCCGGCCUUCUGGUGUGGGAUCUGGCUUGGGAAGGCCCGGUGCUGGGGCUGCUGCUGAAAUUCUUGAGACUGGUUGACAAGGGAUCCCAUGGUUUCAUUUUGCACCGGGCCCCUCCAGGGAUGGAGAGGGUCCUGACUGGCAGUGUCGAAGCCCCGGGGUCUCUCCUUGGUCCCUGGCUCCCCUCACAGCCCUCCCUGCCCAUGGAGCUCCGGGCUUCCGCACACAUUUCUCUCCUUUUUAACAGCUCAUUUCUUUGGGUUCAGCAGUACCUGGGUCCCCAGUGCCCUCCUUCUGAGGCUGUCUCCUUUGAGUGGCCACCCUCCCCCAACACACCUGGAGCCCGGAACCGGGAGUGCCGUGGACACCAGCCCUCCCUGGCCCAGAGACUCUGCCUCUCCUGGGCCUCCCAAGAGUAAAACCUCUCCAUGCCAGACCAGGCUGCAAAUCUGGAUUUGAAACUAGUGCUGUCGCACUCCUUGAACUGUAUCAGGGGUUUUCAGUAGCGGGACCGGAACCAGAACCCAAAAGAGGCUCCUUCCUUGUCUUGAAUUCCUCCCACCUGAGUUAGCAUCUUGGAGGUCAACGUUUCAAGGAAUUCAGUAUCUGAGAAGAGAAAGACACCAAAGCGUAGUUCCCCAUGAAGACUUGUUGCUGAAUAAAACAUCUAACUCC
Molecule: long non-coding RNA, 1411 nt
Organism: Gorilla gorilla gorilla (western lowland gorilla)
Lineage: Eukaryota; Metazoa; Chordata; Mammalia; Primates; Hominidae
Exons: 3
Source: RefSeq, a predicted model, not a curated record